UAUUUAAUAGGUUGUUGGGA
This 20-nucleotide microRNA is filed under the name Sus scrofa (pig). RNAcentral describes it as "ssc-miR-9862-3p". Lineage: Eukaryota; Metazoa; Chordata; Mammalia; Artiodactyla; Suidae. The record is from miRBase by way of RNAcentral.